GCUCAGAUUGACGCUGGCGGCAGGCCUAACACAUGCAAGUCGAGCGGUAGCACAGAGAGCUUGCUCUCGGGUGACGAGCGGCGGACGGGUGAGUAAUGUCUGGGAAACUGCCUGAUGGAGGGGGAUAACUACUGGAAACGGUAGCUAAUACCGCAUAAUGUCGCAAGACCAAAGUGGGGGACCUUCGGGCCUCAUGCCAUCAGAUGUGCCCAGAUGGGAUUAGCUAGUAGGUGGGGUAACGGCUCACCUAGGCGACGAUCCCUAGCUGGUCUGAGAGGAUGACCAGCCACACUGGAACUGAGACACGGUCCAGACUCCUACGGGAGGCAGCAGUGGGGAAUAUUGCACAAUGGGCGCAAGCCUGAUGCAGCCAUGCCGCGUGUGUGAAGAAGGCCUUCGGGUUGUAAAGCACUUUCAGCGGGGAGGAAGGCGGUGAGGUUAAUAACCUUGUCGAUUGACGUUACCCGCAGAAGAAGCACCGGCUAACUCCGUGCCAGCAGCCGCGGUAAUACGGAGGGUGCAAGCGUUAAUCGGAAUUACUGGGCGUAAAGCGCACGCAGGCGGUCUGUCAAGUCGGAUGUGAAAUCCCCGGGCUCAACCUGGGAACUGCAUUCGAAACUGGCAGGCUAGAGUCUUGUAGAGGGGGGUAGAAUUCCAGGUGUAGCGGUGAAAUGCGUAGAGAUCUGGAGGAAUACCGGUGGCGAAGGCGGCCCCCUGGACAAAGACUGACGCUCAGGUGCGAAAGCGUGGGGAGCAAACAGGAUUAGAUACCCUGGUAGUCCACGCCGUAAACGAUGUCGAUUUGGAGGUUGUGCCCUUGAGGCGUGGCUUCCGGAGCUAACGCGUUAAAUCGACCGCCUGGGGAGUACGGCCGCAAGGUUAAAACUCAAAUGAAUUGACGGGGGCCCGCACAAGCGGUGGAGCAUGUGGUUUA
RNAcentral lists this ribosomal RNA (934 nucleotides) under uncultured bacterium. RNAcentral describes it as "bacterial SSU rRNA". It matches the Rfam family "Bacterial small subunit ribosomal RNA", at positions 22 to 948 of the family's 1533-position model. The record is from RNAcentral.